CCCUAAGAAGCUAACCUGAGCAUUGGCCUUUUAAGCCAAAGAAGGGCACACUACGUACCCCUUAGGGC
Molecule: transfer RNA, 68 nt
Filed under: Hemidactylus almakhwah (Al Makhwah gecko)
Lineage: Eukaryota; Metazoa; Chordata; Lepidosauria; Squamata; Gekkonidae
Description: tRNA-Lys
Source: RNAcentral